RNAcentral lists this ribosomal RNA (496 nucleotides) under uncultured bacterium. RNAcentral's name for it is "partial 16S ribosomal RNA". It matches the Rfam family "Bacterial small subunit ribosomal RNA", at positions 28 to 507 of the family's 1533-position model. The record is from RNAcentral.
GACGAACGCUGGCGGCGUGCCUAAUACAUGCAAGUUGAGCGCUGAAGGUUGGUACUUGUACCGACUGGAUGAGCAGCGAACGGGUGAGUAACGCGUGGGGAAUCUGCCUUUGAGCGGGGACAACAUUUGGAAACGAAUGCUGAUACCGCAUAAAAACUUUAAACACAAGUUUUAAGUUUGAAAGAUGCAAUUGCAUCACUCAAAGAUGAUCCCGCGUUGUAUUAGCUAGUUGGUGAGGUAAAGGCUCACCAAGGCGAUGAUACAUAGCCGACCUGAGAGGGUGAUCGGCCACAUUGGGACUGAGACACGGCCCAAACUCCUACGGGAGGCAGCAGUAGGGAAUCUUCGGCAAUGGACGAAAGUCUGACCGAGCAACGCCGCGUGAGGGAAGAAGGUUUUCGGAUCGUAAAACUCUGUUGGUAGAGAAGAACGUUGGUGAGAGUGGAAAGCUCAUCAAGUGACGGUAACUACCCAGAAAGGGACGGCUAACUACGUG